This 495-nucleotide ribosomal RNA is filed under the name uncultured bacterium. RNAcentral describes it as "partial 16S ribosomal RNA". It matches the Rfam family "Bacterial small subunit ribosomal RNA", at positions 28 to 507 of the family's 1533-position model. The record is from RNAcentral.
GACGAACGCUGGCGGCGUGCCUAAUACAUGCAAGUAGAACGCUGAAGGAGGAGCUUGCUUCUCUGGAUGAGUUGCGAACGGGUGAGUAACGCGUAGGUAACCUGCCUGGUAGCGGGGGAUAACUAUUGGAAACGAUAGCUAAUACCGCAUAAGAGUAGAUGUUGCAUGACAUUUGCUUAAAAGGUGCAAUUGCAUCACUACCAGAUGGACCUGCGUUGUAUUAGCUAGUUGGUGGGGUAACGGCUCACCAAGGCGACGAUACAUAGCCGACCUGAGAGGGGGAUCGGCCAAACUGGGACUGAGACACGGCCCAGACUCCUGCGGGAGGGAGCAGUAGGGAAUCUUCGGCAAUGGACGGAAGUCUGAACGAGGAACGCCGCGGGAGGGAAGAAGGUUUUCGGAUCGUAAAGCUCUGUUGUAAGAGAAGAACGAGUGUGAGAGUGGAAAGUUCACACUGUGACGGUAUCUGACCAGAAAGGGACGGCUAACUACGUG